CCUACGGGGGGCAGCAGUGGGGAAUAUUGCACAAUGGGCGCAAGCCUGAUGCAGCCAUGCCGCGUGUGUGAAGAAGGCCUUCGGGUUGUAAAGCACUUUCAGCGGGGAGGAAGGCGGUGAGGUUAAUAACCUCAUCGAUUGACGUUACCCGCAGAAGAAGCACCGGCUAACUCCGUGCCAGCAGCCGCGGUAAUACGGAGGGUGCAAGCGUUAAUCGGAAUUACUGGGCGUAAAGCGCACGCAGGCGGUCUGUCAAGUCGGAUGUGAAAUCCCCGGGCUCAACCUGGGAACUGCAUUCGAAACUGGCAGGCUAGAGUCUUGUAGAGGGGGGUAGAAUUCCAGGUGUAGCGGUGAAAUGCGUAGAGAUCUGGAGGAAUACCGGUGGCGAAGGCGGCCCCCUGGACAAAGACUAACGCUCAGGUGCGAAAGCGUGGGGAGCAAACAGGAUUAGAUACCCUAGUAGUC
RNAcentral lists this ribosomal RNA (465 nucleotides) under uncultured Klebsiella sp. Its description in RNAcentral is "bacterial SSU rRNA". It matches the Rfam family "Bacterial small subunit ribosomal RNA", at positions 338 to 795 of the family's 1533-position model. The record is from RNAcentral. Lineage: Bacteria; Pseudomonadati; Pseudomonadota; Gammaproteobacteria; Enterobacterales; Enterobacteriaceae.